GUUUGAUCCUGGCUCAGAGCGAACGUUAGCGGCAGGCUUAACACAUGCAAGUCGAGCGAGAAAGGGGCUUCGGCUCCGAGUAAAGCGGCGGACGGGUGCGUAACACGUGGAUAAUCUGCCUCGUGGCGGGGGACAACAGUCCGAAAGGACUGCUAAUACCGCAUGUCAGGUCGGAAACUCCGGUUUCUGACGAAAAAGAGGGCGCCCGCAAGGGGCUCUCACCACGAGAUGAGUCCGCGUCCCAUCAGCUAGUUGGCGGUGUAAUAGACCACCAAGGCUUAGACGGGUAGCUGGUCUGAGAGGAUGACCAGCCACACUGGGACUGAGACACGGCCCAGACUCCUACGGGAGGCAGCAGUGGGGAAUAUUGGACAAUGGGCGAAAGCCUGAUCCAGCCAUGCCGCGUGAGUGAUGAAGGCCU
RNAcentral lists this ribosomal RNA (421 nucleotides) under uncultured bacterium. RNAcentral's name for it is "bacterial SSU rRNA". It matches the Rfam family "Bacterial small subunit ribosomal RNA", at positions 11 to 417 of the family's 1533-position model. The record is from RNAcentral.